RNAcentral lists this long non-coding RNA (1252 nucleotides) under Sparus aurata (gilthead seabream). Its description in RNAcentral is "lncRNA (ENSSAUG00010004564.1)". Lineage: Eukaryota; Metazoa; Chordata; Actinopteri; Spariformes; Sparidae. The record is from RNAcentral.
AUGUUUGAUAUCAACAUUAUUUUACAUGUUGUUUUGCAUAACUGGACUUCCAGGUUAAUCGUCAUGUUCCAGACAGAGAAGACUACACAUUCAGGUAUUUUUUCAGAGUGCGCAUGUAUUUACACUAACAAACACAAACUUGUGUUGAAUCAUGUAAAUGUACCUGGACCUGCAGUUCUUUGUCUCUGUCCAGACUGGCUGCUGGUGUCAGUGGAGGCUGAUGAAGGUGUGGAGCUUCCUGGAACGACGUUUGAACUCUGUGUUGUUGGUGGUGUGGAUGUUGACGGGACUGAUGGUGGACGAGUAGUGAGGGGGCGGGUUGGUUCUGUGAAAUAUGAAAGUCACAAUAAAACAAUCUGAUGUUACUCACUAAUUCUCUGCAAACCAGCUAAAUACUUGAAAUUAAUGCCUGUGUGCUUAAAAUCAUAUCAUAUUCAACUGCGGUGAGACAGUUUGAGUUUAUCAACUAAACACAUCUGAACUUCAGACUUUAGCUUCAGUGUGAAGAAUCAUUCAUUCAGAUUGGACCAGACUGUCUGAUAAUCAGACUGAAUCUUCAGUCACUCAGUCUGACUUUGUGUUCAGGUCAGCUGAUUGGUUUUUAUUAAAUAAUCAGUAUCAGAGACACAGAAGUUGUUACUGAGAGCAGUUCAUGUUUUACUUUUCACACCAAUCACAGAAACUGUAAAUGUGACAUUUAAGACUUGUUCAAGUCAACAUAAACCUGCUCAGCUGCGUCUUUUUCUUUUGUUGCUGUUUUUCCUUGAUACAAUCAGAUCCCUGUUACUGAUAACUGAUCAUUUUAAUUGAUCCAAAUUUGUAUAAUCAGUGCAGCUUUAAAUAUGUUUUACGUAACCACUUUAAUUCGUGAACAAUCGAACAAGCCUGGGAAACUGCAAUUUAGCAAGAGCAAGAAGCAUCGACUUCUCUAUUUCUCUAAGUUGUCACUUCUGUUUCUAUCUGAUAACGAAAUGAGGUUUCUUGUGUUAUAGGACUUGAUCAGUGUCAGCAGGCAGGCUGAAGAAAAAAACAACUGUACUUCCUGGAACGACGUUUGAACUCUGUGUUGUUGUUGGUGUGGAUGUUGACGGGACUGAUGGUGGACGAGGAGGGAGGGAGCGGUUUGGUUCUGGGAUCAGAGCUAUGAAAUAUGAAAGUCACAAUAAAACAAUCUGAUGUUACUCAUUUAUUCUCUGCAAACCAGUCUAUGUGUUUAUAAUCAUACAGCUGAAUACUGGAGAUGAAUGUUUCU